RNAcentral lists this ribosomal RNA (418 nucleotides) under uncultured bacterium. Its description in RNAcentral is "bacterial SSU rRNA". It matches the Rfam family "Bacterial small subunit ribosomal RNA", at positions 61 to 489 of the family's 1533-position model. The record is from RNAcentral.
GUCGAGGGGGCCCAGCAAUGGGUCACCGGCGAACGGGUGCGUAACACGUGAGCGACCUGCCCUGAGAUGGGGAAUAGCCGGCCCAACGGCCGGGUAAUACCGCAUACGCUCUCUGAGCUGCAUGGCUUGGGGAGGAAACCUUUUGGGUCUCAGGAGGGGCUCGCGCCCUAUCAGCUAGUUGGCGGGGUAACGGCCCACCAAGGCAAUGACGGGUAGCUGGUCUGAGAGGAUGGCCAGCCACAUUGGGACUGAGAAACGGCCCAGACUCCUACGGGAGGCAGCAGUGGGGAAUCUUGCGCAAUGGCCGAAAGGCUGACGCAGCGACGCCGCGUGGAGGAUGAAGCCCUUCGGGGUGUAAACUCCUGUUGCCCGGGACGAACCUCAGGUUUUGACCUGACUGACGGUACCGGGUGAGGAA